AGUGAACGCUGGCGGUAGGCCUAACACAUGCAAGUCGAACGGCAGCACAGUAAUAGCUUGCUCUUACGGGUGGCGAGUGGCGGACGUGUGAGGAAUACAUCGGAAUCUACUUUUUCGUGGGGGAUAACGUAGGGAAACUUACUCUAAUACCGCAUACGACCUACGGGUGAAAGCAGGGGAUCUUCGGACCUUGCGCGAUUGAAUGAGCCGAUGUCGGAUUAGCUAGUUGGCGGGGUAAAGGCCCACCCAGGCGACGAUCCGUAGCUGGUCUGAGAGGAUGGUCAGCCACACUGGAACUGAGACACGGUCCAGACUCCUACGGGAGGCAGCAGUGGGGAAUAUUGGACAAUGGGCGCAAGCAUGAUCCAGCCAUACCGCGUGGGUGGAGAAGGCCUUGGGGUUGUAAAGACCUUUUGUUGGGAAAGAAAAGCAGCAGGUUAAUACCCCGCUGUUCUGACGGUACCCAAAGAAUAAGCACCGGCUAACUUCGUG
This 492-nucleotide ribosomal RNA is filed under the name uncultured bacterium. RNAcentral describes it as "partial 16S ribosomal RNA". It matches the Rfam family "Bacterial small subunit ribosomal RNA", at positions 29 to 507 of the family's 1533-position model. The record is from RNAcentral.